UACAGAGGUCUCAACCGUUGUUCGGAUUCAUUGGGCGUAAAGGGUGCGUAGGCGGUCGUGCAAGUCGGAUGUGAAAUCUCAGGGCUCAACCCUGAAACUGCAUUCGAUACUGCGUGGCUAGAGUGCUGGAGAGGAGACUGGAAUUUACGGUGUAGCAGUGAAAUGCGUAGAUAUCGUAAGGAAGACCAGUGGCGAAGGCGAGUCUCUGGACAGCAACUGACGCUGAGGCACGAAAGGCCAGGGGAGGCAAAACGGGG
Molecule: ribosomal RNA, 257 nt
Filed under: uncultured bacterium
Lineage: Bacteria
Description: partial 16S ribosomal RNA
Rfam family: Bacterial small subunit ribosomal RNA
Source: RNAcentral